RNAcentral lists this ribosomal RNA (468 nucleotides) under uncultured bacterium. RNAcentral's name for it is "partial 16S ribosomal RNA". It matches the Rfam family "Bacterial small subunit ribosomal RNA", at positions 28 to 507 of the family's 1533-position model. The record is from RNAcentral.
GACGAACGCUGGCGGCGUGCUUAACACAUGCAAGUCGAACGGAAAGGCCCUGCUUUUGUGGGGUGCUCGAGUGGCGAACGGGUGAGUAACACGUGAGUAACCUGCCCUUGACUUUGGGAUAACUUCAGGAAACUGGGGCUAAUACCGGAUAGGAGCUCCUGCUGCAUGGUGGGGGUUGGAAAGUUUCGGCGGUUGGGGAUGGACUCGCGGCUUAUCAGCUUGUUGGGGGGGUAGUGGCUUACCAAGGCUUUGACGGGUAGGCGGCCUGAGAGGGUGACCGGCCACAUUGGGACUGAGAUACGGCCCAGACUCCUACGGGAGGCAGCAGUGGGGAAUAUUGCACAAUGGGCGGAAGCCUGAUGCAGAAACGCCGCGUGCGGGAAGACGGCCUUCGGGUUGUAAACCGCUUUCGCCUGUGACGAAGCGUGAGUGACGGUAAUGGGUAAAGAAGCACCGGCUAACUACGUG